RNAcentral lists this ribosomal RNA (254 nucleotides) under uncultured bacterium. RNAcentral's name for it is "partial 16S ribosomal RNA". It matches the Rfam family "Bacterial small subunit ribosomal RNA", at positions 524 to 776 of the family's 1533-position model. The record is from RNAcentral.
UACGGGGGGGGGCGAGCGUUGUUCGGAAUUACUGGGCGUAAAGGGCGCGUAGGCGGUCUGCUAAGUUGGAUGUGAAAACUCUGGGCUUAACCCAGAGCCUGCAUUCAAAACUGACAGGCUAGAGUUCUGGAGGGGAUAGCGGAAUUCCUGGUGUAGCGGUGAAAUGCGUAGAUAUCAGGAGGAACACCGGUGGCGAAGGCGGCUAUCUGGACAGAGUCUGACGCUGAGGCGCGAAAGCUAGGGGAGCAAACAGG